RNAcentral lists this microRNA precursor (96 nucleotides) under Equus caballus (horse). Its description in RNAcentral is "mir-9058 microRNA precursor family". It matches the Rfam family "mir-9058 microRNA precursor family". Lineage: Eukaryota; Metazoa; Chordata; Mammalia; Perissodactyla; Equidae. The record is from Rfam by way of RNAcentral.
GUGGCUGCCGGAUGGGUGCUCUCUACUACUGCUGUGCAGAGGCUUUCCCUGAGGCUGCUGUGAGCCUGUAGGGUUUACCCUAGGCUACAGAGCUGG